UGUCAUGUAGAGCAGCUGAAUUCAGCUUGUCAAAUAAAUGUCAGAUACUGAUGAAUGUCCCUUAUGGAGUGUGCACUGAAGAUUAUGUAUAAAAAGGCAACAACCUCACAUAACUGGCUCCUCCCCUACCAGGGUCCUCUGCAAGGAUUCCUGCCUUGUCAUCCCGGGCACCGGAACGCUGGCAGCAUCCUCUCCACAACCAGCUUUGGAAAUGGCACCGUGAGUCACUCUAAAAAGCCGUGCAGAUUCACUACAAGCCCUGCUCUUAUGUAUCUUUGGGUUGAAAAAACGUGUCUCCUGGGAUUUCCCUGGUGGCGCCGCGGUUAAGAAUCCGCCUGCCAAUGCAGGGGACACGGGUUCGAUCCCUGGUCUGGGAAGAUCUCACACACCAUGA
Aethalodelphis obliquidens (Pacific white-sided dolphin) is the source of this 394-nucleotide long non-coding RNA. RefSeq lists it as uncharacterized. The transcript is spliced from 3 exons. The record is from RefSeq and is a predicted model, not a curated record. Lineage: Eukaryota; Metazoa; Chordata; Mammalia; Artiodactyla; Delphinidae.